UUUCAUAGAAAAUUGCUCUGAAUAGAAAUAGCUAGAGUUUGUUCCUUUGGUGUUCUUUGUUGUGUGUUUUUUGUUUAAUUUCUUGCUGUUGUGCAUAUAUUUUCGUGUUCUUACUAUUUUUUGUUGUCAGUUUGAAGCUCCAAUUCUUCAAAGUGCAAAAUGGAGGGUGGUCCCCUCGGGGCACUUCUCCUCUGACAAAGAACGGAUUCUCUCAAAGCUGACAGAUCAGAAAUUGUGAGUUCGAUUUUUAAGGUUCUUGGAAGGCAAGACACAUACUGGAAGGCAGGAGUGUUUUAAAAGGCACUUUGACAGUCCAGUUGGAGAGGUGCUCGGACUCUGAUCAGUUGGGGCACAUCCCGUGAUUUAACUGGUCUGUGUGAAGAGGGAUUAGAUCACAUAUCCAAAGAAUAGUCGUCGAAGAUGGACACCUUGAUAAAAUAAAAUAAAAUAAAAAUGAAGGGCGACGGUGCUACUAGCAAUGCGCAAGGGACUGCUUGUCGAUGUGUACGGUGCGGGUCGUGCUUUUAUAGGGUACGAUUCUCUUUUCUUAUCUAACUUUGUUCACUUUUAUACCGCAGCUGUACUUGUAGAGGCCAAACGGAUUAUUUCCCUCUACAACCAUGUUCUUUAUGUCACAAUCAUGGAUGUGGAGCAGUGCAAAGCUUGCUAUUACUAAAGUUCAUAGGGACAUAAUUAACCGUGUAUGUUGGCUUCUUGAAUUUUUGCUCCUUUUUUCAUGUGUUGAGAUUCUAGAAUUUCAGAGAACAAUUCAAGUUUGUGUGAUGGUUUUGCCAUAUAUGAUGCGUGUACCUAUGAUCCCCAUUCUAGUAUUCUUACUUUUGUGUUUUUUUGAAAUUCUAAAAUGGACACGCAGAAAAAUGAGACCACAAUAAUUUAAAAAAUGAGAAUACUAGAAUUAACUGAUCAAGAGGAAAAAGUAACAAUUCAUAAAAAUGAUCGAAUUUUUUUAUAUAUAAAAAAUUUUCAAAUAAAAAAAUAAUGAAGAUGAAAAAAUAGUAUAACAAUUUAUAACCAAAAAAAAAAAAACUUGACGCCAAACCACAUAAUUUUUUAUAAAAUGAUUUAAAUUAUAUUGAAAAAUUUGUAGCGAAAAAAUAAUAAAUAUUAAUAAAAUAAUUGAUUUUUUUUGAAAAAAAAGGGACGACUUUUACGCAAUUUUUAACACAUACGGUUGAUGUAUGUUUAACCUUUUUCGAUAUUCAUUUAGAUCAUUCGAUAUGUCUAUGAUAUAGUUCUCGAAAUGAGUUUCGAGAGAAUAUAGAAGAUUUAUGAAUUCGACUAACGUACAAUCCUCGAAAAAAUUUUAAAGUCAGUUUGUUAUCGAAAUUUUCAAAAUACUAGUUUGAAAAGGCCUACUUUGACGAACCGUAACAUUUGCUACGAUUGACCAUUUCACGCACCGUUAAUGACGUGAAAUAUUAGGUCAUGAAUACUUCAAAAUGAUACUAAAAAUGUAAUAUUUCGACUUCGUUUGAUAUCCCAUAAUAAGCUCGAAAAUCAAUACAAAACAUAAGAAAUUUCUGAAUUUAUUACAUACUUUCCUCCAACCCAAUCGUCGCUUCUUUUUCCUUUCACUGACACGUGACACGUCCCAUUUUUUAAAUUUCUGUGAGACUUCUGUAAUAUAUACUUUGUUUGUUGUGUGAGAUUUACUGGGUGCAUAAUUCUCGGGGGAUAUUCAUUUUUUCCUAUUUUCAUUCCUUGCUUUUGGCGUCUGCAGGUGUUGUUUUUCGCAUACCAUCCAUCGACUUCCUGGUGCAUUGCGGUGUUUGUUUGGAGCUUUGGGGAUUUCGAAAUUGCCACAUCUAGACCUGAGUUGAGUUCUUUUCCAUUCAUUUUGCUGGGUACUUGCUCGAAUUCUAGAUUCCAUGUAUUUUCGAUUUCUUUACUUCUUUACAUGAAAAAAUAUUUAUUCCAUUUUUUUCUCGCUUCAGUACAUUUAGUUCAGAUUCUGCAAUUUUCCCUUUACAUUUUUUGGUAUUGUUCCUUCUUACGUUUCUGCGAUUGAUUUAUCUAUUUUGGUUUUUAUUAAUUUUGUUAGCUUGGUCACAUGUUGUUGAUUUUGUUUCAUUUGGUAUGGGUUUUAUGGAUUUGCAGAAAACACGCUAUUUUUAAAAAAUCAGGUCAAAGGAGUUAUCUUUUGCAUCUGAAAUCUUAUUAUUCUGUCGAGGGAUAAUUUGGGAGUUUAGAAUAUGAAAAUGAUGUCUGUUAGACACACUUGUAAUAUGUUAGACACACUUUCACUUGUGUGUGGGUUUGCUGAAUUUUUUUUAAUUGAAAAUUUUAGCAAGAUGAUAUUGGUUCUCUUCUUGAUGUACUAAUGUGAUACUUUUUCCUCAUCGAUUUCGUUGUCCCAAACAACCAUAAAAAUUUUUAAAAAAUUAAAUUCUUAAGUUAUAACAGGGACCGUGCAACGCAAGAUCCCUCACUAGUUCUAUUAAAAACAUGGAUGUGACACAUUUAUUUAUUUAAAUGUUAUAUUCAACAAAACUGAAGAAUAUAAUUUGACGUCAUGUGAAUGCAUGGCCGGUCCUGAGACGAGGCAAAUGAGGCCCUCGUCUCAGGCCCAAGAACAUAAAGGGCCUCAUUUCAGCCCGGAUUUUUUUCUUUCACAAAACAAGACAAAACAGCCCAAAUCUAAUGAUAUGGGAUUUGAUGUAAAUUUAUUGAAGACAAUAUCUAAAAUGGUUAAAUUUGGGAUUUAUUUUCUUGAAAAUGAUGUGGAAUUUGAUGAAUUUUAUAAGUGGGUGUAUAUAAAUAUUCAUGUCGUUGUCUUAUUUUUGUACAAAAACUUCGUAAAGAUAGAUAUUUAUGUGAUUGUAUUUGUUAAAUCCAUGUUGUCAUCUUAUUUUUGUACAAAACUUUGCGAAGAUAUUACUACAUUUUACAAUUCUUUCAUUCUAAAUCUGCUUUAAAAGGGAUAGAAAGUCGUAUUUUAAUCUAUAUGUAUAUUUUUUGUUUAAUUUUAGUUGAUAAUAAAUCUUUAGUCAAUUAUGUCGAUUUCUUAAUUUGCACUUCCACACUUGACACAAGUUCCUUAACUCUAUGAUUAAAUCUUUGGUUUUGAUAUUUUAUAAUAUAAAUCAUUUUUAUAAUAUAUUUUGUUGUUGUUUAAAUGCUAGUUUUAAGUUAGCAAUAUGUCGCAUAAUAUACAGUUGAAUUUUACAUUUAAGUUGAUUUUGUCGAGGCCUAAUUUGCGGAAUUCGCCUCGAGCCCCCGACAAUAACAGGUUCGACCCUGUGUGAAUGGAUAAGUAUAUCAUAAUCUUUGUUCUAUUUCAUUUUAAGAUCCCAAAUAUUCUUAUGCAAUAACACACGGCUAAAAAUCGGGUGUGAUUUCAUUAGGUUCCAAAGGAAAGGCCAUGGUGAAAUCAAUUAGUUUGUAUUUGAGCUCCAUUCUUUAAAAAACAAAUUUUUUCAAACUCAUUUUUAACACACAUUCUCGUAAUAAAAUAAUUUUACAAGUAAGUUUAAAAUUUUUUCCUACUUUCUAAUUACACAUUCUAAAAAAAAAAAAAAAAAAAACUUAUAAAGUCGCUCAAACAAAUUAACAUUGAAGCUGACAAGAAAAAUGAUAUUUUUGUAAUAUGUAAAUAAGGAUUUUUCUAGAUGUAAAUAAUGGACACCAUUGGCACCUCCCCAUUGGAAGAGGUGUUUGUGGGCCCGUUGUCACGGAUUUGCUAAUUUCCUUCAAGAACCGUGCGGCCUUAGUGUCUUCAACUUCCGCCCCCGCGGUUAUUACACUAAGUCAGCCUCCCGAUUGGCGUUGAUGUCUUAGAAAAGCACUAAGUAGAACACUUUAAGAAAGGGACAAUGAAGGAACACAAGGACUUACAAAGAAUGCUUUGUAUUGAAUAAGGAUACUUUUUACAACUUCACUCUCUUGAUCUUCAAAUGAAUCCUACCAAACUAUUUAUAGUGGUAGCCUCCUCAAAUGGAUGGCUAGGAUCUUUUCUAUCCAACGAUCUAAAUUACACCUCUAGAAUUAUCUAUACAAAUAUCUACACUAAAAUAUGAAUGGACUAAACUAGGAUGAUCUAGAAUAAUCCACAAAGUGAGGGGCUUGUAGUUUCUAGAAUGUCCCAUUGAUUGGCACUCACAAAGUGCCGGAGAUAGCACUCCAACAAAGCAUUCACCCUUUCUGUUUGUCCAUCCGUCUAAGGGUGAAAGCUUGUAGAGAAGUGUAGGUCCGAGCCUAGGAGUUUGAACAACUCCGUCCAUAGCCGACCCGUGAAUCGAGGAUCCCUGCCUAUUUGGGCGACGUCCUCGUCGCCGCGUAAUGCUUUAGUUUAUCUUCGAACUGCCACAAGUCUUCUUGACUUUUCCACGUUGCUUCGGACUCGGGCAAUCCCUUCCACUUUAUCAAAAAUUGUUGGCAAGGAGGCACUCCACGCCUUCGAACAAUGCGAUCUGCUAGGACCUCAUCAACCUCCUUGUCAAAUGACUUAGUCACAAUCGGAGGUGCCCGUUGUGACUCCCCUCGGCUAGGGUCUUCCAUGUCUUCAUGAUAUGGCUUUAACAUGCUCACGUGGAAGACAGGAUGAAUCUUUAAAGUGCUAGGUAGGUCAAGGCGAUAAGAUACCUUGCCAACCUUAGCUAUUAUCGGGAACGACCCUUCAUAUCUCCGUACCAAGCCUUUGUGCACACUUCGGUACGCCUUGAAUUGUUGAGGUAAUAUUUUCACAAGGACUUGGUCGCCAACUUUAAAUUCCAAAGGCCGUCUCUUCUUAUCAGCCCACUUCUUCAUGCGCCUCCGUGCUUUGUUUAAACAAGAUCGUGCUAAGUCGGCAUGCUCUUGCCGUCUCUUCUUAUCAGCCCACUUCUUCAUGCGCCUCCGUGCUUUGUUUAAACAAGAUCGNNNNNNNNNNNNNNNNNNNNNNNNNNNNNNNNNNNNNNNNNNNNNNNNNNNNNNNNNNNNNNNNNNNNNNNNNNNNNNNNNNNNNNNNNNNNNNNNNNNNNNNNNNNNNNNNNNNNNNNNNNGCUGUGCAAUCCUUGGUGACAGGAAUGAAGGUGCCAUACUUAGAGAAUUGAUCAACCACCGCCAUUAUUGACCCGAACCCUUCGGAUUUAGGCAGGGCACUAAUGAAGUCCAUGGUGAUAGAGUCCCAUGGACGCUCCGGGACUGGUAGAGGCUCCAACAAGCCUGCCGGUGACCUUGUUUCCACCUUGUCUUGUUGGCACACAAGACAAGUCUUUACAUAGAGCUCCACCAUGUCUUUCAUUUGCGGCCAAUAGUAAGCUCGUUCAAGUAGUGCCAAUGUGCGUUUCUGCCCUGGAUGACCAGCCCACUUUAUGUCAUGGCACUCCUUGAUGAUAUCUCGCCGCAAAUUGUUCCAUUUAGGAACAUAGAUACGCUGCCUCGUAGUGUAGAGUAAGCCGUCCUCGACCCAAAAUCGUCGUGUCUUUCCUUCUUGGGCAGCGUUUACCAACUCCUUAGCCAAGGGAUCAUGAUCCAUGCCUUCCCGAAUCAAAUCAAGCAACGUCCCUUUGGCUUGGCUUAUGGCUGCAAGCUCCGCCUUCCUGCUUAACGCAUCGGCUACAACAUUCGCCUUCCCCGGCUUGUAUUCCAUCACAUAGUCAAACUCCGCUAAGAAAUCUUGCCAACGUGCUUGCUUGGGAGUCAGCUUCUUUUGUGAUUGGAAAUAACUAGUAGCGACAUUAUCCGUCUUGAUGAUGAAUUUUGAGCCCAACAAGUAAUGACGCCACACUCGUAGGCAAUGAACAAUAGCCGUCAUUUCCUUUUCUUGCACCGUAUACCGACGCUCAGUGUCGUUGAGCUUGCGACUUUCAAAAGCAAUAGGAUGCCUUUCUUGCAUUAGAACACCCCCGAUAGCAAAGUCUGAGGCAUCCGUUUGUACUUCAAAGGUCUUGGUGAAAUCCGGCAAUGCCAAGACUGGUUCCUCCAUCACGGCCGCCUUCAAAUCAUCAAAGGCCGUUUGACAUUUCUCGGACCAAUCUCAUGUCUUAUUCUUCUUCAAUAGGUCCGUUAGUGGGGCUGCCCUCGCUGAGUAGCCUUGGAUGAACCGCCGAUAAUAAUUAACUAGACCAAGGAAAGAACGAAGUUCGGUUACCUUGGUUGGUGCUUCCCACUCCUUGAUUGCUNNNNNNNNNNNNNNNNNNNNNNNNNNNNNNNNNNNNNNNNNNNNNNNNNNNNNNNNNNNNNNNNNNNNNNNNNNNNNNNNNNNNNNNNNNNNNNNNNNNNNNNNNNNNNNNNNNNNNNNNNNNNNNNNNNNNNNNNNNNNNNNNNNNNNNNNNNNNNNNNNNNNNNNNNNNNNNNNNNNNNNNNNNNNNNNNNNNNNNNNNNNNNNNNNNNNNNNNNNNNNNNNNNNNNNNNNNNNNNNNNNNNNNNNNNNNNNNNNNNNNNNNNNNNNNNNNNNNNNNNNNNNNNNNNNNNNNNNNNNNNNNNNNNNNNNNNNNNNNNNNNNNNNNNNNNNNNNNNNNNNNNNNNNNNNNNNNNNNNNNNNNNNNNNNNNNNNNNNNNNNNNNNNNNNNNNNNNNNNNNNNNNNNNNNNNNNNNNNNNNNNNNNNNNNNNNNNNNNNNNNNNNNNNNNNNNNNNNNNNNNNNNNNNNNNNNNNNNNNNNNNNNNNNNNNNNNNNNNNNNNNNNNNNNNNNNNNNNNNNNNNNNNNNNNNNNNNNNNNNNNNNNNNNNNNNNNNNNNNNNNNNNNNNNNNNNNNNNNNNNNNNNNNNNNNNCCCCGGUUCCAACUCAAUCUUAUGAUCCACCUCCCUCCUAGGUCGUAAUUUCUUGGGUAACUCCGGCGGCAUCACGUCCUUAUUUUCUUCAAGGACAUUCUUGAUGACUUCGGGCACAUUAUCGUCACCCACAACUUCCUCAACUUGGUCCUCCAUUUUUAAUGCUGCCAAAUACGUUGCCUCUCCUUUCUUUAGCCCUUUUGCUAGUUGCAUGGCCGAAAGCUGCCCCAUUGCUUUCGUCCUAGCUACCGUAGGAACCAUGCAUGGAGAACCCUUCUCCAAGAUGCAAACUGAGCCAAAGGAAGGCAUAGGAAUAUCAUUGACCUUCCUCAUGAAGUCCAGCCCGAGAACCAAGCGAAAAUCAUCCAUUGUAGCCACUGAAAAAUCCACUUGGCCAUGCCAAGUGCCUAAUUGAAUUUCCACUCCUCGAACUAUGCCACCAAGGGGCGUGGAUGGAGAAUUCACAGCUUUCAUAAGACCACCACUUUUAGUGAUUGUGAGGCCCAACCUUCUAGCCUCAUCUUUAGUAAUGAAGUUGUUGGUAGCUCCCGUAUCCACCAUUGCUAGUGCGGGCCGUCUAUUUACUUGAGCUUCCACAUACAUUAAUCCUCGUUCAUUAUUGGAAGCCGGAAUGACCUUAGCAUUGAGAGCGUUAAGAAGUUGCAAUGAACUAAAAUGUUCCGCCCUUUGCUCUUGGCAAGAGGAUGAAUCCCGUUCCUCCGCCAUAGCCGCCAAUGUGCCAAGUUUAGGGCAAUCAAGCAUUAAAUGUGGCCCCUUGCACACGAAGCAUCCAGUUUGAGAACCCGUCGAGGCCUUCUUCUUUUCCUCAUAAUUUUUUCGCGAGGGGGAAGGUUUGUAAGCGUUACCACCUUUGAAGAAUGAUGACUUAUGGUAAUCUUUCUUCUCUCCCCCGCCUUUAGCCGAGUUACUCUUAAAGCUUUUAGAAGAUUUUGAUGAAUCCGUGCUCCUUUGGAACUCGGUUAAAGAUUCGGCCACCACAAUAGCCUCGUCUACUGUCUUCACUCCCCGACGUUGAAGUUCUUGCUUUGCCCAAUUUUGCAAUCUGUCGGUAAAGUGAAACAAUAGAUCUUCAUCUGACAUGCUCGGGAUUUGAAGCAUAAGGGGAGUAAACUCUUUGACAUAAUCGCGAAUAGUGCCCUUAUGUUUCAACUCCCUAAGCUUUUUACGGGCCUCAUAUACUACAUUUUCGGGAUAAAAUUGGCGUUUCAAUUCCCUCUUGAAAUCAUCCCAACUAUCUAUCCUACAAGCACCCUUUUCUAUGUCGGCAUGCUUACGUCGCCACCAUAGAGCCGCAGUGUCCGUAAGAUACAUAGUCGAAGUACGUACCUUAGUAGCUUCAUCCAAAAUGUUCACUCCCUCAAAAUAUAUUUCCAAUUGCCAUAGGAAAUCAUCUAGCUCUUUUGCAUCUCGCUUUCCAUCAAACUCCCUAGGCUUUGGAUAGUCGAUCCUUGGAGCCGCUAGCAUCGUGCUAGUACCCGCACUGGUUGACGCCUUCUUACAAGCGUCUAGGCCACUUUGCAUAUCUGCGCAAAGCUUGUUCACUUGGUCUUGGAUCGCUUUGACAGCAUCCAUGACCUUAACCUCCAACCUCGUAUAUUCUUCCCUUAAAGCGCCUUGGUCUUCCUUGAGAUCAUCAAGUUGUUCCAAGGUGUGAGCUUCAAGGGUUGAGAGCGAAUUCUCCACUACUUCAAUGCGUUCCCCCAUAUUGAGAAAUACUUUCUCAAGAGAUCCACCGGUAGGGGCUGGUGGUCGGCUCUUACUUCGAGUUUGUCGAGUUUUCUUACUCGUGGUUUGGGGUUCGACCUCUCGACCCCGCUCAUCAUGUUCUACUUCCGAAAUGUCGGAUCCCACAACAUCUUUUCCAUCCAUGCCAACGAUAGUAAGUGAGCAAACCUAGGCUCUGAUACCAACUGUCACGGACUUGCUAAUUUCCUUCAACAACCGUGCGGCCUUAGUGUCUUCAACUUCCGCCCCCGCGGUUAUUACACUAAGUCAGCCUCCCGAUUGGCGUUGAUGUCUUAGAAAGGCACUAAGUAGAACACUUUAAGAAAGGGACAAUGAAGGAACACAAGGACUUACAAAGAAUGCUUUGUAUUGAAUAAGGAUACUUUUUACAACUUCACUCUCUUGAUCUUCAAAUGAAUCCUACCAAACUAUUUAUAGUGGUAGCCUCCUCAAAUGGAUGGUUAGGAUCUUUUCUAUCCAACGGUCUAAAUUACACCUCUAGAAUUAUCUAUACAAAUAUCUACACUAAAAUAUGAAUGGACUAAACUAGGAUGAUCUAGAAUAAUCCACAAAGUGAGGGGCUUGUAGUUUCUAGAAUGUCCCACCAUAUUCUAGCAAUCUUCAUGCACUUGUGGGAGUCUAGAAUAUUUCGGUUAGUUCCAACUCGUCAACAUUUUAAAUUUCUCGAUCUUCUUGUGCCAAGAUCGAGCGAGUCGUGACACCGUGCCUCCUUCAAUGGGGAGGCACCACCUCGGGAUUAUGGUGUCCAUAAUGUACGCCAAGAAUGGUCCUGUAAAUAAUAAUAUUCAUUAAUUACAUGUUGUAAAAGGGAUUUAUUGCAACAAUCAGUAAAUGUAUAUUACUGUUGAUUGAUUAAAUUGAAAUUUGACAACAUUCUUUAAUGCAUGUUGUUAUUGUGUCCUUUUAUAAUAUUUGCUAUCCACUGUCGUUAAUUGCUUAAUAACGUGCAAAGUACGUUGUCAUCAACAUUGCUACCAUUUGCUCAUUGGUGUCCAUUACUUGUUUUAACAAUCCAACCAAACCCAAUCCAAUACGGUUAACUUGCUAAUUAACCGCACAAUUGACGAAUGGCAUUGUAGUUAGAGCUAAGGGUUUGUUUGUGCCCAUUUUUUUGUUAAUACAUUUUGGAAUAUCGAUCCUUUUGAAGAAUGUGUUGUUAAAAAAUAAAGGAAAAUUUUGAACUUACGUGUAAAUUUAUUUUAUUGCUUUUACUACUAUUGUUUUACCUUGAAGAUAAUAUCUCAUUUGUAGUAACUUGUUCAUUAUCUCAUGUUUCGAAUUGCAGGUUUCUUGUUAAAGAGUACCCCGCAUAAGAUAAAUAAGUUUCUUCAGACAAGAUGGGCAACUGUCUAGUGGGUAUGUUUGGCUUAACAACAUCUUAAACAAAUAUUUCACAGAAUUGUAUUUAUUUAUGAAGCACUGAAAAAAUCACAAUUACAUGGGCAUAAAUAGGGGAAAAAAAGGCAACAAUUGAAACGUUGUGCACUUGAUAAUCUAGCAUUGAAACUAUCUGCUUACUUAGGAGUGUGGAAUUCGCACAGUUCAUCUCAUCUUAUACUACACAGCAUAACAGAAGUUGAAGAGAGUAAGAACCAUCUUUUCAGUGAAACCAAAUGAUGAAUGGGAAGAAUGGGCAGUUAAGUAAUAUAAUAACAACAAUAACUAUAUAGAUACAUAUUGAGUUAUGAAAUCUCCAAUUUGAUAUGUAGAUGAAUUAGGUAGAUAAAAGAUAGUGAGUAACAGAAUAUUUUGAGAAGGAAAAAUCAAGAUAUCCCAUGUUAUUAUUAGAUGCUUGCAAGAACAUAAUUAAACUUAGACUCUGGAAACAAUGAUUUAAGUUCCAUUUUCAACAAUAAACUAUUUCUAAAAUUUGAAAAAGGAUUCUGUCAAUGGAUCUUAAGUCUAUUUGGUGUCUCAUCUAGUGUCUCUAUAGUCGAAUCUGUAGAUACCUUUUCCUGAUAUUGUUGGACCACGAGGACCGAUGCUGUUGUAGAGAACUAUGGCGAUAUUAACAAGCUCCCACUAAGGCAUGGGAUUUACCAAAACUAAAUUGCACAAGCAUAACUACGAAUCAUACCAAUUGUCUCUGCAACAUUUCUCACACUUCUCUCUUCAUAUGUGAUAGAGCUAUCUUCUAAUGUUUUUCUCCUUGAAAUUGGCAAGAAACUUCUCAUUUGUUGAGAUCUACAUUUAUUCUUAAGAAUUUCACCUAAACUUGAGGGUGGAUAAAAUGUCCAGACCAGUCCAAACCAAGCGGUUCGGUUCAGUUCUAUCAAAAAAAUUAAUGAUUUUGGUUUUUUGAAUCGAGAACCAUUUGGUUUUGGUUCUGGUUCAGUUUUAGUUAAAAAAUCAGAACCAGAACCAAAAUUAAUAUUUAAUUUUAUAUAUAAUAAUUAGUGGAGAUCCUAAUUUUAUAUUCAUUGGAGAUAGUCCAUUAAUUGAAUACAAUUUAUUAAUCAAUUUUGGGUCAUUUGAGAUAAACAACUCAUUAGUUGUCUACACCCUAAUUUUGUAUUUAGUUGAAUUCACUCCUUUUCGAUUUACACAACAUCGUAGCAUACAGGUAACACAUUUCAUCAAGUCAGUAGAGUGUCAUUUAAGAUUAAAAAAUGAAAUGAUCAGUUACUUAAAAAUGUCUCUAAACUCUAUUUUUUAGCUUGAUUGUUUGAUGAGUUAUUUGUGUUCUUCACAAACAGAGAUAAACCUAAUAAACAUUCAUAAAAUAUUAAACGGUUAAUGAACCUAUAGAAGUGGACUGUAAAAAUUUUAAUAAUUCAUUUUUUAUUGUAGGGGUGUAUCUUCAAAACUACCGCAAUUUAUUUAGUGAAUUAUUGCUAUUACUUAUUAAAAUUUUUUUUUUGGUAUGAAAAUAAAAAUUGAUUUGUGUAUUCAAAUUAUGAAUAUAUUUUGUUUGUUAAUUAUGACUUUUUUGAUCUCGAUGAUUGAAAUUUGAACUUCCUAAAUGUUUGAUAUUUAUUUUCUUAUUUAGGUAUACAUUACUAAUUUAUAUAAUACAAAACUAAAAAUUCAAGAAAUAAAAUUAGAACCAAACCAAACCAGAACCGAACGAUUCGGUUCAAGUUGGUUUCAUAUUUUUAAAAAAAACAUUUGGUUCCAUUAUCAAAAAAAUCAUUGGUUCAUGAUUCGAUUCGGUUCUCUUAGAACCAGAACCAUAUGGAACCACAAAAGAGAAUGACUUUCAACAUGAUUCCAGGGUGUUGAGACGUGAACGCAUCGCAGUCAUUACUAGUAGAUAUGUGGGAGGUUCCUCCAAGUCCAAGAUCAACCAAUAUCCCCAUCGAACACGAAGCAUGCUGCAGAAGUCUAUGGUUAUCCCAGCCGAAAUCUGCUUUAGUAGUCUCCAGUGAGCCAUCCAACCUCUGAUGCUUGUGAAAUGGUAAAAUGAUUAUUGCUGCACUCUUCCUCUCAGCAGUGGUGCAAAUGUAUCCGAGCAUGUGCAUGUCAGACAGGGAUGAGAUGGAAGUCAUUGGUCGAACAGAAACUUUGCUUAACUACUGAAAAGCCUCAAAAGCAACAAUGACCUAGUUGGCAUCUGAACUUUAUUCCAAAAGGGAAGACCAUUUUUUCUGGCUUUCUGUAUCAUCAAUAUUGCUGAUGAUCUCUAGAGAGCUCCAUGAGGUGCAUUGCAUAAACAAAUAGGCCUUCAUGUUUCUCAGUUCCACGCUAGGACUCCAUAAGGUUAAUGAUAGAUGGGAAGUUUCUAGACUUAUGAAAACAGGCCAAUAUCUGAAGUUGAGUGUUCGGAAUUUUCCUUUCUAUUGUUCUAUGUUUAUAGCCAGUUUUGUUUACUUUUUUUUGCCUGUUUAUACACAGCCAUCACUACCAGAGUGGUGAUGAAAGUAGUGAACAGAGCCACCAAAACCAUGAUAGCAAAUGUCUGGUCAUUCAAAACCUGCAUUGUAAUUAUGUUGGACAAUCCAUGAGAUCUUCAAUAAUCAUGACUCAAAGUAAGUUACCAUUGCUGCCAAGGAAAAAUAUUACCUUUCUAUCUUUGCCAUUGUUAAGAACUAUGAGCUCUACCAAGCCUUUACAAUCCAUAAGAAAGCCAAGAGCAAGAACUUCACUAAUGGGCAUUUUGCUCACAAGGGAAACGACAACAGUUCCAACAAUCUUCCCAAAGCUGGCAGUGAAUAUAACCAAUGCCAGAAGACCUCAUGACUGAAUCCCUUGGAUUGUUGCCACAUUAGUUUUCAAUUCACUUGAAACAAAGUAUGGGGGAGGAAAAGGCCUAAUAAAAGAUCCUCAACCUUUUCAACUAGUGCACCAGCAUAUGGUCCUUCUGGGACAAGUACACCAACCACAAAAGCUCUAAACAUAGCAUGAAUCCCAAUAGUAUCAGUAACAAAAACCUGCUGCAAGCACAAAAGCUAAUGCAAGACGCAUAUGCAUCUCAUCCAUAGGCUCUCUUCAUGACAGCGCCUAGCUAUCCAUUUAAAUAUUAUUGAGAUGAUGAAGUAUAAACAAAUGACAAAACCACACCCACAAAGGAAAACCCAUAAGGACAACACACAAAAGAUUAUCGCCAGAUAAGGCGAUGACAAGAGCAAGCAAGAUCCAUACAGGUACAUCAUUUGCUGCCGAUGCAGACAUGGCCAUUCUUCCAACAUCGGUUGUUAAAAGCUUCAGUUUAACCCAGAUUCGAGCCAAAACAGGGAAUGCAGUUAUGGAAAGGGCUACACCUAUAAAAAUGAGAAAUGAGGUUACAUUUACACCUUUUGGUAUGGUUGCUCGGAGGACAAAUGAUGAACCAAUUCCUAAUGCAAAUGAGAGGCUGAUCCCUACAAUGGCUAUGCUGAGAGCUUUUUUACCCAUUCUAGAGAGGGAUUUAGUAUCCAGUUCUAAGCCAGCUAGAAAAACAAAGAACAGGAGACCAAUAAUUGCUAGAGUAUCUAACACGGUAAAGCUUAUUGGUGGGAAUAUUGCAGCCAAAUAGCUUUUGUUUGUACCAAGAACAGAUGGUCCAAGUUAUUCCUCCCUGAACAAUAAGAUAUACUGUUAGUUGCCAGCAACACUAGAGCUCAAAAUGAUUUUCAUGACACACUAAUGUAAAUGGGAAGGAAAAAGGACAAGUAUGAAUUUUAUGGAUAAAGUGAAAUAGACUAAAUUACAUGAAGGAAAAACGAGCAUGUGCAACCUUGUACAUCAAAUAUGACUUUUACCUCAAGACUACAUGACUUCUUAUUGUGAGGUCCAUUAGUAUAUCAUCAACAUAUGAAAGUCAAAGGCAUUUAUGAUAAGACACUGUGCCUUUCAUGUGAACAUUCAAAUUUGUAAGCCUAUUAGAUAAUACACUUAUUUAUGUACUGUUCAUAAAUGAAACAAAAAAAAUUACCAAUCAGUGCAAGCUAACACUGAGGACAUUCGAUAUCACAACAUUCUGAUCCAAGCCUUUCGAGUGAAACAACAAACACCGGUUAAUAACUAGUCUAUGUUAGAUUCAUUUCCCUUAUACUUGUUCUUCUCAAAUCCUUCACAAGAUGAGUUUUUCUAAAUUACUUAUGCAUUAAUAUACAACAGUAACAAAAAGCAAGGAGCUUACAAUAAUCUCAAAAACUACUCUGAUGACUACAAUGACUAAACAUAUCUGCAAGAUUGCAAGGGAGAGAGCAAAGUCCAGCGGGUUAUCCCCUCGGAAUACACAAUUAGAUGUGGCAUUCAUUGGAGAAGGGCAAGUAUGCCAUGCUUCACUAUUUAAUGCCAUUGUAACAGGAAUCUGAAUUAAGAAGAUCAAUUUAUCACUCCAAUCAUGUGCAACAUGAAUCAUUCAGGCUGAUAUCUUUAGGUGUGUAAAUUUCAAUACCACUUAAACGGACCCCAUUUACAAAGAGAUCACAUAGUAAGCCAUACAAGUAAUUACAUUCUAUUUUCCAAAACAAUAGUAAAUAUAUGUCAGGAAAAAAUGUUAUUCUCGCUUAUUCAACCAUGGGGACUAAAUGAAAAAAUCUAAUCUCUUAAAAUAAAUACUCUCCAAUAUUUACGACAUGUGGGAAAUAAAAAUGAAAAUUUUGGUUGAUCAAUCUAUCCUCCAACUUAUUAUAGGAAUACAAACAUUCUAGUAAAUGAAAAAUUUCUUUAAUUUUAGGCAUAACAAAUCUAACCAUCAUAGCCACCUAAUUUCUCCUCAAUUGCUAUCACCUUUACCUGACAUGUAUGUCCAUCAUUUGUUUCCAUUACAGAAUAGCUGCUCAUCCAUCUCCAGAUCCACACUUUUCUCACGUUUGUUUCUGGAUAUUUUGUGCUUGAAGAGCAGAAAUGACGAGGAUAUCUAGCUUGGACUAUUUAGUUAGUAUUUUAUUUGGGUUUGUAUUCUGUUUUGGGCUUGUCCAAGCCUUUUAUUUUGUUUUUGGGCUUGUAUCAUGUAUUGGGCUGGCCCAAGCCCUUCUAUAUUUUGUAUUGUAUAAAAGUAUGCAGUCUUCUAUGCAUGGGGGAUAGAUUUGAUGGAAAUGAAAUGACAAUUGGAGUGUUGUAGGCAUUCUCCCCUUUUCCACUGCCCCUCCUCCUCUUGUCUUCCUUUCCUACUUCUUUCUCUUUCUUUUAUCUGGUUUCUACUUCCCUCUCU
RNAcentral lists this long non-coding RNA (15060 nucleotides) under Olea europaea (common olive). RNAcentral describes it as "long non-coding RNA (OEUR_LNC003072)". Lineage: Eukaryota; Viridiplantae; Streptophyta; Magnoliopsida; Lamiales; Oleaceae. The record is from RNAcentral.